AGUGAACGCUGGCGGUAGGCCUAACACAUGCAAGUCGAACGGCAGCACAGUAAGAGCUUGCUCUUACGGGUGGCGAGUGGCGGACGGGUGAGGAAUACAUCGGAAUCUACUUUUUCGUGGGGGAUAACGUAGGGAAACUUACGCUAAUACCGCAUACGACCUACGGGUGAAAGCAGGGGAUCUUCGGACCUUGCGCGAUUGAAUGAGCCGAUGUCGGAUUAGCUAGUUGGCGGGGUAAAGGCCCACCAAGGCGACGAUCCGUAGCUGGUCUGAGAGGAUGAUCACCCACACUGGAACUGUGACACGGUCCAGACUCCUACGGGAGGCAGCAGUGGGGAAUAUUGGACAAUGGGCGCAAGCCUGAUCCAGCCAUACCGCGUGGGUGAAGAAGGCCUUCGGGUUGUAAAGCCCUUUUGUUGGGAAAGAAAAGCAGCAGGUUAAUACCCCGCUGUUCUGACGGUACCCAAAGAAUAAGCACCGGCUAACUUCGUG
RNAcentral lists this ribosomal RNA (492 nucleotides) under uncultured bacterium. RNAcentral describes it as "partial 16S ribosomal RNA". It matches the Rfam family "Bacterial small subunit ribosomal RNA", at positions 29 to 507 of the family's 1533-position model. The record is from RNAcentral.